RNAcentral lists this ribosomal RNA (253 nucleotides) under uncultured bacterium. RNAcentral's name for it is "partial 16S ribosomal RNA". It matches the Rfam family "Bacterial small subunit ribosomal RNA", at positions 524 to 776 of the family's 1533-position model. The record is from RNAcentral.
GACGUAGGGCGCGAGCGUUGUCCGGAUUUAUUGGGCGUAAAGAGCUCGUAGGCGGUCUGCUAAGUUUGGAGUGACAGUUGGUGGCUUAACUGCCAAAGUGCUUCGAAAACUGACAGACUUGAGGGCUUCAGAGGGACACGGAAUUCCGGGUGGAGUGGUGAAAUGCGUAGAGAUCCGGAGGAACACCAAAGGCGAAGGCAGUGUCCUGGGGAGUACCUGACGCUCAGGUGCGAAAGCCAGGGGAGCGAACGGG